UACUCCUACGGGAGGCAGCAGUGGGGAAUUUUGGACAAUGGGGGCAACCCUGAUCCAGCCAUUCCGCGUGAGUGAAGAAGGCCUUCGGGUUGUAAAGCUCUUUCGCAAGGGAAGAAACGUUACGAGCGAAUAACUCGUGAUAAUGACGGUACG
This 153-nucleotide ribosomal RNA is filed under the name uncultured beta proteobacterium. Its description in RNAcentral is "partial 16S ribosomal RNA". It matches the Rfam family "Bacterial small subunit ribosomal RNA", at positions 334 to 479 of the family's 1533-position model. Lineage: Bacteria; Pseudomonadati; Pseudomonadota; Betaproteobacteria. The record is from RNAcentral.